CCUACGGGUGGCAGCAGUGAGGAAUAUUGGUCAAUGGCCGGAAGGCUGAACCAGCCAUGCCGCGUGAAGGUCAGUGCCCUAUGGGCGUUAAACUUCUUUUGUGCGGGAGCAAUAAUGGUCACGUGUGGCCAGACGAGAGUACCGUACGAAUAAGCAUCGGCUAACCCCGUGCCAGCAGCCGCGGUUAUACGGGGGAUGCAAGCGUUAUCCGGAUUUAUUGGGUUUAAAGGGUGCGUAGGCUGUGAGGUAAGUCAGCGGUGAAAUGCCUCCGCUCAACGGGGAGAAGUGCCAUUGAUACUGGCUGGCUGGAAUGCGGAUGCGGUAGGAGGAAUGUGUGGUGUAGCGGUGAAAUGCAUAGAUAUCACACAGAACACCGAUUGCGAAGGCAUCUCACGAAUCCGCGAUUGACGCUGAUGCACGAAAGCGUGGGUAUCAAACAGGAUUAGAUACCCGGGUAGUC
This 460-nucleotide ribosomal RNA is filed under the name uncultured bacterium. RNAcentral's name for it is "partial 16S ribosomal RNA". It matches the Rfam family "Bacterial small subunit ribosomal RNA", at positions 338 to 795 of the family's 1533-position model. The record is from RNAcentral.